CCUGCUCACUGCUCUCCCUCGCGGCCCCGGCUCGUGGUGCUUAGCAGCCGCCGGACGGCCGGAGCUAGGGUUUCGCCGGAAAUCCCUGCGGCCAGGACGCCGGUCGGUUCGCCGUCUUCGUCUCUCUCAUCUCAUUCAGUGAAUUGGAGUGACUGUCUCAACAUGUCUUGGGCUGCGAUCGAGAAUGAUCCCGUCCUGAUCCUGGAUGAUAUUUGCCACCCUGCCCAGCCACCAGUUGCCACCAACUUGUCCGUAGGGAGGGGCAUGGAACGAUCUCUGCACCUGGCUGAUGUUGCCUUCUUCAAUGGGAAGCUGUACGGACUUGCUUUUGGCCGGUGUUUUUACAGACCUGUUGCAGCAGAUGCAACUGAAGGGCCUUCAAGUUGAUGAACUCUACUCACUUGACCUGGAUGCGCUCGGUGAUCUUCAGCCAAUAUAUGGGCUCAUAGUACUGUACAAAUGGCGACCUCCAGAAAAGGAUGAGCGUCCUGUCAUCAAGGAUGCAAUCCCAAACCUUUUCUUUGCCAACCAGAUAAUUAAUAACGCGUGGGCAACUCAAGCUAUCCUUUCUGUUCUCUUGAACUCACCUGGCAUCACCCUUAGUGACGAGCUUAAAAGGCUAAAGGAGUUUGCAAAGGACUUGCCACCCGAGCUCAAGGGAUUGGCCAUAGUCAAUUGCGCAAGCAUCCGUAUGUUAAACAACUCAUUUGCAAGGUCAGAGGUCCCGGAAGAGCAGAAACUAUCUAGCAAGGAUGAUGAUGUUUACCACUUCAUAAACUAUGUUCCAGUGGAUGGUGUCCUGUAUGAGCUUGAUGGACUAAAGGAAGGGCCGAUAAGCCUGGAGAAAUUCCCAGGUGGUGUUGAUGAGGCGGGGUGGCUUAGGGUGGCGCAGCCUGUGAUUCAAGAGCACAUUGACCGGUUCUCUCAGAAUGAGAUAAGAUUCAGUGUGAUGGCAAUCUUAAAGAACCGGAAGGAGAUGUACACAGCAGAGCUCAAAGACCUCCAGAGGAAGAGGGAGAGCCUGUUGCAGCAGAUGAGUGAUCCUUCUGCCAGCAGGCAUGUGCCAUCUGUCGAGCAGUCUCUAGCAGAGGUAGCUGCUCAGAUCGAGGCUGUGACAGAGAAGAUCAUAAUGGAGGAAGAGAAGUGGAAGUCGGAGAACAUGAGGAGGAAGCACAACUACGUGCCAUUCUUGUUCAAUUUCCUCAAGAUUCUCGAGGAGAAGAAGCGAUUGAAGCCCCUGAUAGACAAGGCAUCCUGUGUUUGUUUUAGUUGAGGUUUCUUGUAGAGACUGACUGUGUGGCCCGUGUUUUGUUGGCCAGUGUUCACUCCUAUUUUUAGCUAGUGCACAAAUGUCUGCUCAAAUAUAUCCAGGCGAAUGAAUCUUGAAGAGGCGAGUGUGCCGUGGAGUUUAUCCAGUCAUACUGGAGGUCAAUCGCCGGUGACCAAGAGUCUCAGCCAACUCUUAAAGCCCACUCGAGCCAACGCGCCGUGGCAAACAAGCGUCUCGUACCACUCAGGAGCCUGCCGGUCAUCCUCAGCACACUACUAGGGUACAAGAGAACAAUGAGCUGUCAGAGGGAACCAGCACUACAGCUAUGAGAGACGGCUCAACCAGCAGCCAGGAGGCGCCGAACGGACUCAGAUUCUAUAACAUUGCUAUGGCAUGUCACAGUGUAACAUUGGGACGAUCUGCAGCCUUCAAAACGAA
Panicum virgatum (switchgrass) is the source of this 1708-nucleotide RNA transcript. It is a transcript of the gene named ubiquitin carboxyl-terminal hydrolase 2-like, with no coding region annotated. The record is from RefSeq and is a predicted model, not a curated record. NCBI's taxonomy places the organism in Eukaryota, Viridiplantae, Streptophyta, Magnoliopsida, Poales, Poaceae. The transcript has 9 exons.